UAUAGUGGAAGGGGGAUGUACAUAGUUUGGAGUCAAAAAAGGAGGAAAAGGAAAGAAGGAAGAAAUUGAAUCUAAAGAAUAAAAGAAUGAAAAAAUGUUCCUUCUGGACAUAUUUACAGGAGUUAAGGGCUCCAUAGCUAGCCCGUAACAGCUAGCAGAAGGAUGAGAAAUGGAUGGAGCACCAAGCGAUGGAAAAUAGGAUCUCAACCACAGUUGAGUGAACCAAAGAGGUCCACUGCCAGUGGGAGAUGCACCAUUCUUCAAUUGAG
RNAcentral lists this long non-coding RNA (269 nucleotides) under Olea europaea (common olive). RNAcentral describes it as "long non-coding RNA (OEUR_LNC015251)". The record is from RNAcentral. Lineage: Eukaryota; Viridiplantae; Streptophyta; Magnoliopsida; Lamiales; Oleaceae.